This 296-nucleotide unclassified non-coding RNA is filed under the name uncultured Absidia. Its description in RNAcentral is "sequence contains ITS2". The record is from RNAcentral. Lineage: Eukaryota; Fungi; Mucoromycota; Mucoromycetes; Mucorales; Mucoraceae.
AACGCAUCUUGCACCCUUUGGUAUUCCAAAGGGUACGCCUGUUUCAGUAUCAUUAUAACCUUUCUCCUCCAAGGCUUUUUGGCCAAGGAGGGGAAAGAGCAUAACCGGUGGCCCAGCGGUCCUCCCAUCAGGGGGGAUUGUCUCGGCUGGAAUGACUGUUGCAAUGGUGGGCCAAAUGGUCUCCCGCACUUGAUAAAUGUAACUUUUUAUAAAGAGCGGGGCCGGUCUGCCGAAAGUUGUAACUAAACCCUUUUACCUUUGAUCUGAAAUCAGGCGGGAUUACCCGCUGAACUUAA